GCAGCCGCGGUAAUACGUAGGUGGCAAGCGUUAUCCGGAUUUACUGGGUGUAAAGGGCGUGUAGACGGGUUUGAAAGUCAGGCGUGAAAUACCGCAGCUUAACUGCGGGGCUGCGCUUGAAACUUCAAAUCUUGAGUGCUGGAGAGGAAAGCGGAAUUCCUAGUGUAGCGGUGAAAUGCGUAGAUAUUAGGAGGAACACCAGUGGCGAAGGCGGCUUUCUGGACAGUAACUGACGUUGAGGCGCGAAAGUGUGGGGAGCAAACAGGAUUAGAUACCCC
Molecule: ribosomal RNA, 278 nt
Filed under: uncultured Oscillospiraceae bacterium
Lineage: Bacteria; Bacillati; Bacillota; Clostridia; Eubacteriales; Oscillospiraceae
Description: partial 16S ribosomal RNA
Rfam family: Bacterial small subunit ribosomal RNA
Source: RNAcentral